RNAcentral lists this long non-coding RNA (695 nucleotides) under Anthonomus grandis grandis. RNAcentral's name for it is "uncharacterized LOC126749362". Lineage: Eukaryota; Metazoa; Arthropoda; Insecta; Coleoptera; Curculionidae. The record is from RNAcentral.
AGUUACAGGGUUACUUUCAAAAAUAUGACAAAUUAUUGAAGGUGCCUAACAGGCAAACUGCACCAGUUCCCUUAAUUUCCCACCGAUUUUCAUGAAAAUUGCAUUGAUGCAAAGGGUUUUUAAUUUAGAACCAUAAAUGUAUCUAUAAAAAAAAUAAAAAAUUGGAAAUUUCCAGAGUUACAGGAAUAUUUUCAAAAAUAUGGCAAAUUAUUGAAGGUGUGUAAGAGGCAAACUGCACCAGUUCCCUUAAUUUCCCACCGAUUUUCAUGAAAAUUGCAUUGAUGCAAAAGGUUUUUAAUUUAGAACCAAAAAUGUAUCUAUAAAAAAAAUAAAAAAUUGGAAAUUUUCAGAGUUACAGGAAUAUUUUCAAAAAUAUGGCAAAUUAUCGAAGGUGUGUAAGAGGCAAACUGCACCAGUUCCCUUAAUUUCCCACCGAUUUUCAUGAAAAUUGCAUUGAUGCAAAAGGUUUUUAAUUUAGAACCAAAAAUGUAUCUAUAAAAAAAAUAAAAAAUUGGAAAUUUUCAGAGUUACAGGAAUAUUUUCAAAAAUAUGGCAAAUUAUCGAAGGUGUGUAAGAGGCAAACUGCACCAGUUCCCUUAAUUUCCCACCGAUUUUCAUGAAAAUUGCAUUGAUGCAAAGGGUUUUUAAUUUAGAACCAAAAAUGUAUCUAUAAAAAAAAUAAAAAAUUGGAAAUU